RNAcentral lists this ribosomal RNA (262 nucleotides) under Leptalpheus pacificus. RNAcentral's name for it is "partial small subunit ribosomal RNA". The record is from RNAcentral. Lineage: Eukaryota; Metazoa; Arthropoda; Malacostraca; Decapoda; Alpheidae.
AGAAUUUGGCGGUAUCUAAGUCUAGUUAGAGGAACCUGUGCUGUAAACGAUAAACCACGAAUAUCUUACUCCGUCUUGAGAUGGCAGCUCGUAUACCGCCAUUGUUAUUGAUAAUCUUUGAAGAGGUUUAUUGAGAUAGAUUUAUAAUUUAGUAUAUUAGGUCAAGGUGCGGCUAAUGAUGGAGAAGUCAUGGGUUACAUUGAUAUUAGUAAAUACGGAUGAAUUCAGUAGGAUGUGAAUUCUGUAAGAUGGAUUUAAUAGU